UGGGAGCCUGCUUUCUGCCAGUCUUGAGGUUCUGAAGAUCAGCUUUGAAAGGAAAGUAUGUCCUAGCUUAGCCAUUCAGAAGAGAAAAAUGGAAUAUCAGAGUUACAGUUGUCAGUGAAACUACUUUGGAUUUUAACCUCUUAGAGGAAGAAAAAAGGUUAGGGAAGUGUCAACUCUGGAUGAAGGUGAUGUGUUUGCCUCUCAGUCUUUCAUUCAUAGCCUGCUAGUGAAAAGGAAGUAAAUGAGAUUCUUUUGUGUGACUUUGUAGUCUCUUUGUAUUACCAAAUAGUUGGGGUGUUGACUCCUGUGUGUUUUGCAAGAAUGUGUGGUAAGCCUGGGUAAAGAGAAGGAACUGCGGUGUUGGGAGAGUCUUUGUGUUGGGGAGUGGCAGGGGAUGAUUUGUUUCAGGGGAAAAUGCCCACAUUUUAACUUUUAAACUUCUGAAUAAACUGUGUAAAAACAGU
This 464-nucleotide long non-coding RNA is filed under the name Homo sapiens (human). RNAcentral's name for it is "non-protein coding lnc-STK38-1:1". Lineage: Eukaryota; Metazoa; Chordata; Mammalia; Primates; Hominidae. The record is from RNAcentral.